UGAGACCAAACUGAUUUCCUGUUUAUUAGAGGCAGAGGUGCUCUGCUUGAGAAAUACCAAUCCAUUAAAGUCACAUUUUAAGACAUUUAAAUAUCUGGCAUAUAAUAAAUGGAUUUAGAUAAGUGCUAAUGAUACAAAAAUUUUAGACUGUUUUUAACCUAAAGCUUACUGAAAGGUUUUGUCUGAAGAACUCUUAUCUAUACACAAAUAUAAGUAUGGGAGAGAGAUUCCUGGUUACCAUGGAAUCUGUAUGCCAGAAAUAAAAAUCUGAACAAUUACUGAACUUUUAAUACAUACUUUU
Molecule: long non-coding RNA, 301 nt
Filed under: Bos taurus (domestic cattle)
Lineage: Eukaryota; Metazoa; Chordata; Mammalia; Artiodactyla; Bovidae
Description: long non-coding RNA NONBTAT011477
Source: RNAcentral